AUGCCUCCCCCGCUGCUCGUCUUCGUUUGCCUCGUCCCGUUCGUUCUUCUUGGCGCGCCAUGGCCGUCCGAUGCGGGGGCGAGGCCGCAGCUUUUCGCGCUGCGGGCGCGCCAGAUGCCGGCCAGGGCGCUGCCGCGGCAGCCCAACAAGCUGCGGUUCCACCACAACGUCAGCCUCACCGUCUCGCUCGCCGUCGGCACGCCGCCGCAGAACGUCACCAUGGUUCUCGACACCGGCAGCGAGCUGUCCUGGCUGCUCUGUGCGCCGGCCGGCGGCAGGAACAGGUACAAUGCGACGUCCUUUCGGCCGAGGUCCUCGGCCACCUUCGCCACCGUGCCCUGCGCCUCCGCGCAGUGCCGCUCCCGCGACCUGCCGUCGCCAUCGGCCUGCGACGGGGCGUCGAGCAGGUGCAGCGUGUCGCUCUCCUACGCGGACGGCUCCUCCUCCGACGGCGCGCUCGCGUUCGGCUGCAUGGCAUCCGCGUUCGACUCCUCCCCGGACGGCGUGGCGAGCGCCGGGCUGCUGGGCAUGAACAGGGGCGCCCUCUCCUUCGUCUCGCAGGCCAGCACCCGCCGCUUCUCCUACUGCAUCUCCGACCGCGACGACGCCGGCGCGGCCACCACGGGGCGGCCAGGCGCGGGCGCGGCCACCGCGGGCCGGCGCGGCCACCGUGGGGCGGCCAGGCCUCGCCUCUCCGCGCCCAGCCGCUGCGAGCUUCCCUGCCUCCUGCGUGUUUGA
This 738-nucleotide ribosomal RNA is filed under the name Triticum aestivum (bread wheat). RNAcentral's name for it is "partial small subunit ribosomal RNA". Lineage: Eukaryota; Viridiplantae; Streptophyta; Magnoliopsida; Poales; Poaceae. The record is from RNAcentral.